UUGCUGCUUUUCUGGGCCC
Molecule: microRNA, 19 nt
Filed under: Eptesicus fuscus (big brown bat)
Lineage: Eukaryota; Metazoa; Chordata; Mammalia; Chiroptera; Vespertilionidae
Description: efu-miR-9245
Source: miRBase by way of RNAcentral